UUUAGGUGUGGUGAUGCAUGCCUGUGAUCCCUGCUGCUGGGAGAAUCUGAGGCUGGUGUUUGAUUAAGCUCAGGAGUUCUGAGCGUCAGAUUGGGGGUGUCCACACUAAGUUUAGCACUACCAUGGUGAACCCCUGGGGGUAGAGGGCCAGCAGGCUGCCCAAGGAAGGACAAACCAGUCCAGUUUGGGGAAAUGGAGCAAGUUAAAGCUUCCAUGCUGAUCAGUAGUGGGAUUGGACCCAUGAAUGGUCAUUGUACUUACCUAGGUCAUUCAGCUAAUAAGUGGCAGA
Molecule: signal recognition particle RNA, 289 nt
Filed under: Phascolarctos cinereus (koala)
Lineage: Eukaryota; Metazoa; Chordata; Mammalia; Diprotodontia; Phascolarctidae
Description: Metazoan signal recognition particle RNA (ENSPCIG00000030024.2)
Rfam family: Metazoan signal recognition particle RNA
About the family: The signal recognition particle (SRP) is a universally conserved ribonucleoprotein. It is involved in the co-translational targeting of proteins to membranes.
Source: RNAcentral